Cydia splendana is the source of this 227-nucleotide long non-coding RNA. RefSeq lists it as uncharacterized. The record is from RefSeq and is a predicted model, not a curated record. NCBI's taxonomy places the organism in Eukaryota, Metazoa, Arthropoda, Insecta, Lepidoptera, Tortricidae. The transcript has 2 exons.
CUGGUCCAUACAAAAACAGAAAACGUUUUUCUACUUCUAAAUAUUUUCCUAUCUCCGUGAUUGUUUAGUAUGUUAUUGACACAAUGAAAAACUAGGUUUAUAGGUUAUCCUUUUUUUUCAAAAUUUACAAAAAAAACAAUACAAAUAAAAAGCGAAACCUAUAAACCUAGAAUAUAUUAUGCUGAAGCGAUCGACAUCAAAAUCAAAGUGAUUUGUUAAGAUUUAGU